This 446-nucleotide ribosomal RNA is filed under the name uncultured bacterium. RNAcentral's name for it is "partial 16S ribosomal RNA". It matches the Rfam family "Bacterial small subunit ribosomal RNA", at positions 330 to 792 of the family's 1533-position model. The record is from RNAcentral.
CCCAGACUCCUACGGGAGGCAGCAGUGGGGAAUAUUGCACAAUGGGGGGAACCCUGAUGCAGCGACGCCGCGUGGGUGAAGGAGCGUUUCGGCGCGUAAAGCCCUAUCGGCAGGGAAGAAGGAGGACGGUACCUGACUAAGAAGCCCCGGCUAACUACGUGCCAGCAGCCGCGGUAAUACGUAGGGGGCAAGCGUUAUCCGGAUUUACUGGGUGUAAAGGGGGCGCAGACGGCAGCGCAAGCCAGGAGUGAAAGCCCGGGGCCCAACCCCGGGACUGCUCUUGGAACUGCGCGGCUGGAGUGCAGGAGGGGCAGGCGGAAUUCCUGGUGUAGCGGUGAAAUGCGUAGAUAUCAGGAGGAACACCGGUGGCGAAGGCGGCCUGCUGGACUGCGACUGACGUUGAGGCCCGAAAGCGUGGGGAGCAAACAGGAUUAGAUACCCGAGUA